Molecule: ribosomal RNA, 407 nt
Filed under: Calanus finmarchicus
Lineage: Eukaryota; Metazoa; Arthropoda; Copepoda; Calanoida; Calanidae
Description: partial 16S ribosomal RNA
Rfam family: Bacterial large subunit ribosomal RNA
Source: RNAcentral
CGCCUGUUUAACAAAAACAUCGUAAAUAAUAUUUAUAAUACCUGCUCAGUAAUAUUUAAACAGCCGCGUUAGUGUUAAGGUAGCAUAGUAAUUAGUUUCUUAAUUGGGAAAUAGGAUGAAUGGUUUCACUAAAAUAUAGUUUUUAUCCUCAUUUGCGAAAUUUUAAUCUAAGUGAAAAUACUUAGCAGUUGUACUAGGACGAGAAGACCCUAUGAAGCUGGCAAACUAUUAAUACAUAUUCCUAUUAUUUAUUAGUUUAUUUUUUGGGGUAAAAUUUAAUAAUACUAUUAACACAAUUGUACUAAAUUACAUCCUUUAGGAAUUAUGAAGAAGCUCCUCUAGGGAUAACAGCAUUAUGCUUAAAAGAGUUCUUAUCAGAAUAAGCGUUUGUGACCUCGAUGUUGAAU